This 70-nucleotide transfer RNA is filed under the name Dipodomys ordii (Ord's kangaroo rat). It matches the Rfam family "tRNA". Rfam says of the family: Transfer RNA (tRNA) molecules are approximately 80 nucleotides in length. Their secondary structure includes four short double-helical elements and three loops (D, anti-codon, and T loops). The record is from Rfam by way of RNAcentral. Lineage: Eukaryota; Metazoa; Chordata; Mammalia; Rodentia; Heteromyidae.
UGGUAUGUAGCUCAGUGGCAAAGCGCUUGCCUAGCAAGCGCAACGUCCUGGGUUCGAUCCCCAGUACCAA